GACAGAGGGUGCAAACGUUGUUCGGAAUUACUGGGCAUAAAGCGCACGUAGGUGGUCCUCUAAGUCGCGUGUGAAAUCCCUCGGCUCAACCGAGGAAUUGCGGGCGAUACUGGCGGGCUAGAGAUCGGGAGGGGUGAGUGGAACUCCAGGUGGAGCGGUGAAAUGCGCAGAUAUCAGGAGGAACACCGGUGGCGAAGGCGGAUCUCUGGGCCUGUUCUGACGCUGAGGCGCGAAAGCUAGGGGAGCGAACAGG
This 253-nucleotide ribosomal RNA is filed under the name uncultured bacterium. RNAcentral's name for it is "partial 16S ribosomal RNA". It matches the Rfam family "Bacterial small subunit ribosomal RNA", at positions 524 to 776 of the family's 1533-position model. The record is from RNAcentral.